UCUGAAAUUGUGGUGUGCGGAAAAGUAAUAUUUUCAGUAUUUUCGUUAUAAGAAAUGAAUAUAUUACUUUUCCGCACACCACAAUUUCAGA
This 91-nucleotide microRNA precursor is filed under the name Mayetiola destructor (Hessian fly). RNAcentral describes it as "microRNA mir-515". Lineage: Eukaryota; Metazoa; Arthropoda; Insecta; Diptera; Cecidomyiidae. The record is from RNAcentral.